Molecule: ribosomal RNA, 3062 nt
Filed under: marine sediment metagenome
Description: bacterial LSU rRNA
Rfam family: Bacterial large subunit ribosomal RNA
Source: RNAcentral
CCAAGCUACUAAGGGCGAGACGGUGGAUGCCUUGGCGCUCGAGAUGGCGAUGAAGGACGUGGUUAGCUGCGAUAAGCCUCGGCGAGCCGCUAAACAGGCUUUGAUCCCGGGGAUUUCCGAAUGGGGGAACCCACCCCGGUAAUGUCGGGGUAUCCAUCACUGAAUACAUAGGUCAUGGAGGCGAACGCAGGGGAACUGAAACAUCUAAGUACCCUGCAGGAAAAGAAAGCAACCGCGAUUCCGCAUAGUAGCGGCGAGCGAACUGCGGACCAGCCUAAACCGGAAUAUGUUAAGCCUGCAUGCGUUGCCAUGUCGGGUUGCGGGGCCUCGGAAGUAUGCAGUGCUUCGGCAAGUCAAAAAUGUGAAUGGAUAGCUGAACUGCUCUGGAAAGGUCGGCCGAUAGAGGGUGAUAGCCCCGUAAGCGAAAUCGUUGAACUUGCUCUAGGGUGUCCCCAAGUACCGCGGGACACGGGAAACCCUGCGGGAAUCUGGGAGGACCAUCUUCCAAGGCUAAAUACUACUCCGCGACCGAUAGUGAACCAGUACCGUGAGGGAAAGGUGAAAAGUACCCCUGUGAGGGGAGUGAAAUAGUACCUGAAACCGUUUGCUUGCAAGCUGUGGGAGGACUGUGGUCGGCCUCAAAGGUUAGCCCUUUGGCCGGUCUGUCUCGACCGCGUGCCUUUUGCAUAAUGAGUCAGUGAGUUACUUUACGUGGCGAGGUUAAGCCGUUAGGUGUAGCCGUAGCGAAAGCGAGUCUGAAUAGGGCGAUGAGUCGCGUGGAGUAGACCCGAAGCCAGUUGAUCUAUCCAUGGCCAGGGUGAAGUCUCGGUAACACGAGAUGGAGGCCCGAACCGCACUAAGGUUGAAAACUUAGGGGAUGAGCUGUGGAUCGGAGUGAAAGGCUAAUCAAAACUGGAGAUAGCUGGUUCUCCCCGAAAUGCAUUUAGGUGCAGCCUCGCAGGAUGAAUGGCGGGAGGGUAGAGCACUGGAUGGGCUAGGGGUCUCACCAGAUUACCAAACCCAACCAAACUCCGAAUGCCGUCACUAUUUACUGCGGGAGUGAGACUGCGGGAGAUAAGUUCCGUGGUCGAAAGGGAAACAGCCCAGACCGCCAGCUAAGGUCCCUAAAUAUGUGCUAAGUGGGAAAGGAUGUGGAAAGCGCUGAGACAGCCAGGAGGUUGGCUUAGAAGCAGCCAUCCUUUAAAGAAAGCGUAACAGCUCACUGGUCAAGUGAGUCUGCGCCGAAAAUGUAACGGGGCUAAAGCACAUUACCGAAGCUGCGGAUUGUCUGAAUCUUCGGAUUCAGGUGAUGGUAGGGGAGCAUUCCAUUCCGGGCUGAAGGCAGACCGUAAGGACUGCUGGACUGAAUGGAAGAGACUAUGCUGACAUGAGUAGCGAUAAUGCGGGUGAGAAAACCCGCUCGCCGUAAGCCUAAGGUUUCCUGAGUAAAGCUAAUCUUCUCAGGGUUAGUCGGUCCCCUAAGCCGAGGCCGAAAGGCGUAGGUGAUGGGAAAACAGGUUAAUAUUCCUGUACCACCAAACAGGCAUUUGAGUGAUGGGGGGACGUAGAAGGGUAGGCCAUCCGGGUGAUGGACGUCCCGGUUCAAGCCGGUAGGUGGAGGCUCUAGGCAAAUCCGGAGCUCUCUUAUUAACACCGAGAAGCGAUGAGGAGGGACUAUCCCAUAAACUGGCUGAUCCCACGCUACCAAGAAAAGCCUCUAGCGAGUCCGUUUGGUGACCGUACUGCAAACCGACACAGGUAGGCAGGGGUGAGUAUCCCUAAGGCGCUUGAGAGAACCCUGGUUAAGGAACUCGGCAAAAUUGACACCGUAACUUCGGGAGAAGGUGUGCCCUCAUCAGGUGAAACGACUUGCUCGUGGAGCCGAAGGGGGUUGCAGAGAAUAGGGGGUUGCGACUGUUUACUAAAAACACAGGACUCUGCUAAGUCGUAAGACGAUGUAUAGGGUCUGACGCCUGCCCGGUGCUGGAAGGUUAAGGGGAUGCGUUAUCCCGACUCGUCGGGAGAAGCGUUGAACCGAAGCCCCAGUAAACGGCGGCCGUAACUAUAACGGUCCUAAGGUAGCGAAAUUCCUUGUCGGGUAAGUUCCGACCUGCACGAAUGGCGUAACGACAUCCCCGCUGUCUCAACCAGGGACUCAGCGAAAUUGUAUUCUCGGUGAAGAUACCGAGUACCCGCGGCAAGACGGAAAGACCCCGUGCACCUUUACUAUAGCUUGGCAUUGGCUUUUGGGCUAGCAUGUGUAGGAUAGGUGGGAGACUUUGAAAUGGGGACGCUAGUUUCCAUGGAGUCAACCUUGAAAUACCACCCUUGUUAUUUUAGAAGUCUAACCUUGGCCCGUUAUCCGGGUUAGGGACAGUGCCUGGUGGGUAGUUUGACUGGGGCGGUCGCCUCCUAAAGCGUAACGGAGGCGCGCGAAGGUUCCCUCAGGCUGAUUGGAAACCAGCCGUAGAGUGUAAAGGCAUAAGGGAGCCUGACUGCGAGACCUACAAGUCGAGCAGAGACGAAAGUCGGUCUUAGUGAUCCGGCGGUUCUGGAUGGAAGGGCCGUCGCUCAACGGAUAAAAGGUACGCCGGGGAUAACAGGCUUAUCUCCCCCAAGAGUUCACAUCGACGGGGAGGUUUGGCACCUCGAUGUCGGCUCAUCGCAUCCUGGGGCUGAAGCAGGUCCCAAGGGUUGGGCUGUUCGCCCAUUAAAGCGGUACGUGAGCUGGGUUUAAAACGUCGUGAGACAGUUUGGUCCCUAUCUGCCGUGGGCGCAGGAUAUUUGAGGGGAGCUGUCCCUAGUACGAGAGGACCGGGAUGGACGAACCUCUGGUGUACCAGUUGUCACGCCAGUGGCACCGCUGGGUAGCUAUGUUCGGAAGGGAUAACCGCUGAAAGCAUCUAAGCGGGAAGCCCACCCCAAGAUAAGAUAUCCCCUCUCUCUCGCUUCGGCGGGAGAGGCUGAAGGCCCCUUGUAGACUACGAGGUUGAUAGGUCGGGUGUGUAAGCACAGCAAUGUGUUUAGCUAACCGAUACUAAUUGGCCGUGCGGCUUGACCAU